RNAcentral lists this ribosomal RNA (116 nucleotides) under Argyrosomus regius (meagre). Lineage: Eukaryota; Metazoa; Chordata; Actinopteri; Sciaenidae. The record is from RNAcentral.
GCUUACGGCCAUACCAGCCUGCGCCCGAUCUCGUCCGAUCUCGGAAGCUAAGCAGGGUCAGGCCUGGUUAGUACUUGGAUGGGUGACCGCCUGGGAAUACCAGGUGCUGUAAGCUU